UACGUAGGGGGCAAGCGUUGUCCGGAAUUAUUGGGCGUAAAGAGCUCGUAGGCGGUUUGUCGCGUCUGCUGUGAAAUCCUGAGGCUCAACCUCGGGCUUGCAGUGGGUACGGGCAGACUAGAGUGCGGUAGGGGAGACUGGAAUUCCUGGUGUAGCGGUGGAAUGCGCAGAUAUCAGGAGGAACACCGAUGGCGAAGGCAGGUCUCUGGGCCGCAACUGACGCUGAGGAGCGAAAGCAUGGGGAGCGAACAGG
RNAcentral lists this ribosomal RNA (253 nucleotides) under uncultured bacterium. Its description in RNAcentral is "partial 16S ribosomal RNA". It matches the Rfam family "Bacterial small subunit ribosomal RNA", at positions 524 to 776 of the family's 1533-position model. The record is from RNAcentral.